This is a non-coding RNA of Schistosoma rodhaini, 45 nucleotides long. The record is from Rfam. NCBI's taxonomy places the organism in Eukaryota, Metazoa, Platyhelminthes, Trematoda, Strigeidida, Schistosomatidae.
ACCUAGCUGUAGAGUCCCAAAUAGGAAAAAACACGCGUCCUGGAU